UACAGAGGGUGCAAGCGUUAAUCGGAAUUACUGGGCGUAAAGCGUGCGUAGACGGUUAUGUAAGUCGGGUGUGAAAGCCCCGGGCUCAACCUGGGAAUGCCAUUCGAGACUGCAUAGCUAGGGUGCGGAAGAGGGAAGCGGAAUUUCCGGUGUGGCGGUGAAAUGCGUAGAUAUCGGAAGGAACACCAGUGGCGAAAGCGGCUUCCUGGUCCAGCACCGACGUUCAGGCACGAAAGCGUGGGGAGCAAACAGG
RNAcentral lists this ribosomal RNA (253 nucleotides) under uncultured bacterium. Its description in RNAcentral is "partial 16S ribosomal RNA". It matches the Rfam family "Bacterial small subunit ribosomal RNA", at positions 524 to 776 of the family's 1533-position model. The record is from RNAcentral.